RNAcentral lists this long non-coding RNA (2070 nucleotides) under Mus musculus (house mouse). Its description in RNAcentral is "long non-coding RNA chr14:115788318-115790388". Lineage: Eukaryota; Metazoa; Chordata; Mammalia; Rodentia; Muridae. The record is from RNAcentral.
GAAGAUCACAAACUGUGAGUGCAAGCAUCGAGAGCUACUUUCAAAUGGCUGGUUUUGGAAUAUCAGUUAGGAAACUGUUAUCAUGAAUGUAACCACACAAUGGCCGUGCACUCCAAAGCAGAUAGGACAAAAUGGUAAGGAAGUGAGCCUGCUUGUGACUGUGUAGAGCCUCCAUCCCUGGGUUUUCAUUUAUUCUGCACUAGUGGGCUUAGGUAGAAAUGAUGCUUAUGUGUAAAGAACUGAUGAGUCAUGAGGAGAUUUGAGAGUUACAAAGUUUUAAAGAAACACAAUCUUUAGGUCAUUUCGUUCAAUGUGUACUGAUGAAUAAUGUGGACAAGGUGAAUAAGUACCACUCAAUAACCAAUCGUGCAAGUUUAUAGAUUUAUGUCACAAAUUAAGUUCUUUUGGUUGUUUGGUCGUUUUGUUUUGUUUUGUUUUGUUUUGUUUUGUUUUGUUUUGUUUUGUUUUGUUUUGUUUUGUUUUUCCAGACAUGGUUUCUCUGUGUAGCCCUGGCUGUCCUGGAACUCACUCUGUAGACCAGGCUGGCUUUGAACUCAGAAAUCUGCCUGCCUCUGCCUCCCAAGCACUGGAAUUAGAGGUGUGUGCCACCACUGCCUGGCACAAACUAAGUAUUUACUAUAUUAAGGUGUUUUUUGGUUGUUGUUGUUGUUAUCAUCAAACUGGAUUCAUCUCAUUUGAAUAUUCAGUUUUAUUAGUUACUUGAGAGUUUCAUAUGUGUUUUGGUCAUGUUCACCCUCCUGCAUUAAUUCCUGCUCAAUCUCAUGAAUCUUCCCUUUUGAAAAAUCUCACCUAAUGUUAUCUUUCUUUUUGACUGUAUGGAUUAUAAACAGUUUCUGACAUGUUUAAGUAGUCAUUUGCAGAAAAGAUAUAUCUUCCAGGGCUGAUGAGUUGGCUCAAUAUGUAGAGUGUCUUCCAUAUAAACAUGAGGGAGGACUGCCCUAAUUGGAAUCAUUAAUCAAUACAUAAAUACUCAGGUGCCAUGGCUGUUGUCUCUAAUCCCAUCUCAGGAAAGAUGGAGAGGAGCGAUUCCUGAACUCAAUGGGCACAAACUCUAGUGGAGAGCAAUAAAGAAUAUCACCUAGCACCUAGCCCCCCUCUCUUCCCCCCCCAUACACCACACAUCACGUGUAUGCAUGUAUGCAUGCACACAUACAAGCAUAUGCACACAUGUAUACCUAUACAUGUAAAAGAUACAAAGAAAAGCAACUACCAAGUCCUGUUGCAAUUUGUUCUUUUAUAGCUAGAUCUAUAGUCUCCAAGGUCGUGCACAUUUAUAUACUCAUGGGCAGCCUAAUGAAAGUGAUCAACUGAGAACAAAAUGCUAAAGUUAACAUAGCCCAAGCACAUGGCUUCAGGUUAUCAGUUAGCUCUACCAAGGCAGAAGCUGAUGUAAUCUUUCUGAAUCUUGUAGCCCCAGAUCCACUUUGGCCUGAAACCCCAUUCUGCGCACAAGAGUGAGUGCCUUCUACCAUACAAAUCCUCUGGUGGGAGAAAAAUAUUCAGCAAUAAUGCUACAAAGAUUAAAAUCUCAGCUCAUUCAUUUAAAAUCUUGUUUUAUUAGUAAAAUAUGUUGAUUAAAUAGCUGAAAACCAAUAGUGAUGCAAACUAUAAAACAAUUUGCACCAAGAAAUGGUUUUUUUUUUUAGAUGUAGUAAUUGAUUUACAAUGAAACAAAAAGCUAUCCAGUUUCUACUAUAUGUAGACCACUUCCUUCUUCUAUUGGCUGAAUUCUGGACAUGUGUUUUUCUACUUGGUAUGAAUAUUUCUUUUUACAUUUAUUUUUUUAGAGGGAUAAAUACAUAAAAAUAAAAUAAAACAUUUUCAGUAGUAAAACAAAUUUUACUCAAAUUAACAGUUUCUCUUCUAUAUUUGGGAAUUAUGACAGAGUGAUAUACAAUUCAAAAUCAAUUAUUUCUAUAUAGUUUCUAUAUAUAACUAUUUAAAUAUAAUAUAUGUGUAACUAAUAAACAAUAUAUUCAUUCUCUAUUUAGCUGUUUUAAUGUUAGCAGGAUUCUAAGUUAUCAAAAUAUGUACUAGAAAGGAAAAUGU